This 75-nucleotide transfer RNA is filed under the name Armatimonadota bacterium. RNAcentral describes it as "tRNA-Val". It matches the Rfam family "tRNA". Rfam says of the family: Transfer RNA (tRNA) molecules are approximately 80 nucleotides in length. Their secondary structure includes four short double-helical elements and three loops (D, anti-codon, and T loops). Lineage: Bacteria; Bacillati; Armatimonadota. The record is from RNAcentral.
GGGCGGUUAGUUCAGGGGGAGAACGCUUCGUUGACACCGAAGAGGUCACUAGUUCAAUUCUAGUACCGCCCACCA